This 535-nucleotide long non-coding RNA is filed under the name Bos indicus x Bos taurus (hybrid cattle). RNAcentral's name for it is "lncRNA (ENSBIXG00005011187.1)". Lineage: Eukaryota; Metazoa; Chordata; Mammalia; Artiodactyla; Bovidae. The record is from RNAcentral.
GUUUACUAUUAAAGUACCUUCACUUCCUGAGCUGACGCUUCCCGAGUGCCUACUACACGACUGGACCUCAAGGCUGGGUCCUUCAUUGAGCAAUGCGUACUGAACCACUGCAAAAUUAUUGAUAAUCACCACAUGGGGACCUGCAGAUAUUCCCGCUGGACCUUUUCAAAGGGGAAAUGACUUGACCUUGUACAGAGAGGGCGUUGGCACUGCCUCCCGGCUUGAAUUCUGGAGGACAGAACGGACCACAAACAGACAUGCCGAAACACAGAUAAGUGAAGUGCUACCAGGAGAUGACUUGUGAGACGUGGAAAUUCAAACAGUGACGUAGUCCGGGCUGGUUUGGGCUGAGGGCCCUUGAACUUGGCCUCGAUGAUGCAGAACCAGAGAGGAAGACCCACCCCGGGGAAGUAGGAUCUUUAGACCAGAGGGAAGGGUUUUGAUGGCCAGAUGGAAGCUCAUUAAAUUUACUAAUGUGGACAAAGAAAUCCAGAAUGCACCUCCAGUGCAAUAAAGUUAUUUUGAGCUGAAGACA